GGAAGGGUGUCCGAGUGGUUUAAGGAACCGGUCUUGAAAACCGGCGUACGGUGAUACCGUACCGUGGGUUCGAAUCCCACCCCUUCCGCCA
Molecule: transfer RNA, 91 nt
Filed under: Acetobacter sp.
Lineage: Bacteria; Pseudomonadati; Pseudomonadota; Alphaproteobacteria; Acetobacterales; Acetobacteraceae
Description: tRNA-Ser
Rfam family: tRNA
About the family: Transfer RNA (tRNA) molecules are approximately 80 nucleotides in length.
Source: RNAcentral